This 450-nucleotide ribosomal RNA is filed under the name uncultured bacterium. RNAcentral describes it as "partial 16S ribosomal RNA". It matches the Rfam family "Bacterial small subunit ribosomal RNA", at positions 354 to 796 of the family's 1533-position model. The record is from RNAcentral.
GUGGGGAAUUUUGGACAAUGGGCGCAAGCCUGAUCCAGCAAUGCCGCGUGCAGGAAGAAGGCCUUCGGGUUGUAAACUGCUUUUGUACGGAACGAAACGGUCCGGGUUAAUACCCUGGGCUAAUGACGGUACCGUAAGAAUAAGCACCGGCUAACUACGUGCCAGCAGCCGCGGUAAUACGUAGGGUGCAAGCGUUAAUCGGAAUUACUGGGCGUAAAGCGUGCGCAGGCGGUUUUGUAAGACAGGCGUGAAAUCCCCGGGCUCAACCUGGGAAUUGCGCUUGUGACUGCAAGGCUGGAGUGCGGCAGAGGGGGAUGGAAUUCCGCGUGUAGCAGUGAAAUGCGUAGAUAUGCGGAGGAACACCGAUGGCGAAGGCAAUCCCCUGGGCCUGCACUGACGCUCAUGCACGAAAGCGUGGGUAGCGAACAGGAUUAGAAACCCGGGUAGUCC